CAGCAGCCACGGGAAUACGUAGGUGGCAAGCGUUGUCCGGAAUUAUUGGGCGUAAAGGGCUCGCAGGCGGUUUCUUAAGUCUGAUGUGAAAGCCCCCGGCUCAACCGGGGAGGGUCAUUGGAAACUGGGAAACUUGAGUGCAGAAGAGGAGAGUGGAAUUCCACGUGUAGCGGUGAAAUGCGUAGAGAUGUGGAGGUACACCAGUGGCGAAGGCGACUCUCUGGUCUGUAACUGACGCUGAGGAGCGAAAGCGUGGGGAGCGAACAGGAUUAGAGACCCGCGUAGUCCCUGUCUCUUAUAC
Molecule: ribosomal RNA, 301 nt
Filed under: uncultured bacterium
Lineage: Bacteria
Description: partial 16S ribosomal RNA
Rfam family: Bacterial small subunit ribosomal RNA
Source: RNAcentral